GACGAACGCUGGCGGCGUGCUUAAUACAUGCAAGUCAACUGAACUUGAAGUAGCAAUAUUUCAAGGGAGGUGGCGCACGGGUGAGUAACACGUAGGUAAUCUGCCUUUAGGUCUGACAUAAUUCCGCGAAAGCGGGACUAACUUCAGAUGAUGCAGCGGCUCGACAUCGAGACAGUUGUUAAAUCUUCGGAGCCUAAAGAUGAGCCUGCGUCUGAUUAGGUAGUUGGCGGAGUAAAAGCCCACCAAGCCUGCGAUCAGUAGCUGGUCUGAGAGGAUGAUCAGCCACACUGGAACUGAGACACGGUCCAGACUCCUACGGGAGGCAGCAGUAAGGAAUAUUGCUCAAUGGCCGAAAGGCUGAAGCAGCAACGCCGCGUGGAGGAUGAAAUACUUUUGUAUGUAAACUCCUGUAAGAAGGGAAAAAUAUUUCGAUUUAUCGGAAUUGAUUGUACCUUCAGAGUAAGCACCGGCUAACUA
Molecule: ribosomal RNA, 477 nt
Filed under: uncultured bacterium
Lineage: Bacteria
Description: bacterial SSU rRNA
Rfam family: Bacterial small subunit ribosomal RNA
Source: RNAcentral